This is a non-coding RNA of Python bivittatus (Burmese python), 500 nucleotides long. The record is from the annotation of a RefSeq genome assembly. Lineage: Eukaryota; Metazoa; Chordata; Lepidosauria; Squamata; Pythonidae.
AGAGUGACUUUCAUACCUUCACCAUGGAGCUACACAUCUUGAUAUAUCUCUUGAUGAUCUUACCUGCAUAUAUUGCAUUACAGAUUACAUUAACAGAGUCUGGUGGUGGCCUGAAGAAACCAGGAGAGACUCUACAACUGACUUGUAGAGUCUCUGGAUUUUCCAUCACAAGCUACGGAGUGCACUGGGUCCGUCAGGCCCCUGGAAAGGGGCUGGAAUGGAAUGGCGUUAUCUUGAGUGGUGGAAGCACUAAGUAUAACAGUGCGCUCCAGAAUCGGAUCAGCAUCACACGGGAUACAUCCAAAAACCAAGUGUUCCUUCAACUGAAUGGUUUAAAGUCUGAGGACUCGGGCAUUUAUUACUGUGCAAGAGACACAGUGAAGAAAGGCUUUGCUCAAGCUAUACAGAAACUUCUCUUCCUCAAAAUGAGGCAUUGGGGAGUUCGUGUGUGGGAGCUGGCCACAUCUGUUUAUCAUGCUCUUUUAACUGUGAACAUCUAA